UGCAGUCGACGACUCUGGUAUUGAUUGGUGCUUGCAUCAUGAUUUACAUUUGAGUGAGUGGCGAACUGGUGAGUAACACGUGGGAAACCUGCCCAGAAGCGGGGGAUAACACCUGGAAACAGAUGCUAAUACCGCAUAACAACUUGGACCGCAUGGUCCGAGUUUGAAAGAUGGCUUCGGCUAUCACUUUUGGAUGGUCCCGCGGCGUAUUAGCUAGAUGGUGGGGUAACGGCUCACCAUGGCAAUGAUACGUAGCCGACCUGAGAGGGUAAUCGGCCACAUUGGGACUGAGACACGGCCCAAACUCCUACGGGAGGCAGCAGUAGGGAAUCUUCCACAAUGGACGAAAGUCUGAUGGAGCAACGCCGCGUGAGUGAAGAAGGGUUUCGGCUCGUAAAACUCUGUUGUUAAAGAAGAACAUAUCUGAGAGUAACUGUUCAGGUAUUGACGGUAUUUAACCAGAAAGCCACGGCUAACUACGUGCCAGCAGCCGCGGUAAUACGUAGGUGGCAAGCGUUGUCCGGAUUUAUUGGGCGUAAAGCGAGCGCAGGCGGUUUUUUAAGUCUGAUGUGAAAGCCUUCGGCUCAACCGAAGAAGUGCAUCGGAAACUGGGAAACUUGAGUGCAGAAGAGGACAGUGGAACUCCAUGUGUAGCGGUGAAAUGCGUAGAUAUAUGGAAGAACACCAGUGGCGAAAGCGGCUGUCUGGUCUGUAACUGACGCUGAGGCUCGAAAGUAUGGGUAGCAAACAGGAUUAGAUACCCUGGUAGUCCAUACCGUAACGAUGAAUGCUAAGUGUUGGAGGGUUUCCGCCCUUCAGUGCUGCAGCUAACGCAUAAGCAUCGCCUGGGGAGUACGCGCAGCUGAAACUCAA
This 873-nucleotide ribosomal RNA is filed under the name Lactiplantibacillus plantarum. RNAcentral describes it as "bacterial SSU rRNA". It matches the Rfam family "Bacterial small subunit ribosomal RNA", at positions 56 to 904 of the family's 1533-position model. Lineage: Bacteria; Bacillati; Bacillota; Bacilli; Lactobacillales; Lactobacillaceae. The record is from RNAcentral.